RNAcentral lists this ribosomal RNA (466 nucleotides) under uncultured bacterium. Its description in RNAcentral is "bacterial SSU rRNA". It matches the Rfam family "Bacterial small subunit ribosomal RNA", at positions 30 to 506 of the family's 1533-position model. The record is from RNAcentral.
AUGAACGCUAGCGGUAUGCUUAACACAUGCAAGUCGUACGGAAAAUUUAAAUAAAUUAAAGAAAUUUAAUAAAAAUAUUUUUUUAGUGGCGGACGGGUGAGUAAUACGUGAGAAUUUGCCUUUAGGAGGAGGAUAACUAUUAGAAAUAAUAGCUAAUACUGCGUAAAGUCUUAUUGAUGAAAGAAGAAAUUCGCCUAAAGAAAAGCUCACGCCUGAUUAGCUAGUUGGUAGGGUAAGGGCCUACCAAGGCGACGAUCAGUAGUUGGUUUGAGAGGAUGAUCAGCCACAUUGGAACUGAGACACGGUCCAAACUUCUACGGGAGGCAGCAGUGGGGAAUUUUCUGCAAUGGGCGAAAGCCUGACAGAGCAAUACCGCGUGGGGGAAGAAGGCCUUCGGGUUGUAAACCUCUUUUUUCAAGGAGGAAGAUCUGACAGUACUUGAAGAAUAAGCAUCGGCUAACUCUGU